AUGGGCGGAUCUGCUGAUCCCGAGGAGCCGGCGCCGACGCCGACGCCGUCCCCGGCGAAGCCGUCGCCCUCGUCGUCCGACGCGAAGCGGCUCAGGCGGUGCGUGCAGUCGCGGCUCCCGUUUGGGUCGGGCAGGCCGGGCGGCGGCGGCGCAGGGGUCGCCCCUCCCGCGCCCGCGGCGGAGGAGGCGGCUGGGAAGGAGGCCGCGGAGGAGCCGGAGAAAGGCAAGAGGAAGGCGAGGCCGCGGAGAUCAGCGGCCGCCAGGAAGCCAUCUUCAAAUAAAGAGACAACUGGGUUGGAUCCAGGUAGCAAGGAUGAAGUUACUUUGGUUGAUGAGAGCCCUCAGAAAAAGCAGCGGAAAGGUAGAAAUCAAGAUGCAGCACGGAAGGCGCCUAAUAGAAAGCGCUGCAAGGUGUUGGAAUCUCCUGAUGGCCACGUAGGCUGUCAGCAACUGCAUAGCAGUCAGACUGAAGCUACCUUACCUGAAGGAUCUCCUGUCAAAAUUGAUAUAGAUCUGAAUAAUGUGCCUUCUGAGGCAACACAGCCUAAUGCCAACGAUGUAUUAGACAACGAAGAUAAGUCACAGGUGAUAGUUGACCUAAGGUCAGAGGCAAAAAUAGCUGCACAGGAAAUCCGGAUGUUAUCAUCUGGAAAGAAAUUGCAUCCAUUUUUUGCUUCCCGGAAAGUAAACAAAGGUGCUGAACAAGAUGCAUUCAAUAUCAAGGAUACAAAUUCCCUUUGUGCUAUUGAGAGGGACCCACCACUCUGGCCUGUUCAUGUCGUGUACCAAUUGGAGACUGCCAUACCAAUUCAUUGGAGUAAAUGGCUAAUUUGGGAGGGAUCUUUUCUUGAUACCAGUGCCUCCGAUACACUUGAAAAUCCUGUCUCAUUCUUUGAGGGCUUUGUGAAACCUUUGACAAUAGAGUCUAAUUCCAAGAGGAUGUGCCUAGAUCAGUUGGCUGAGCAGAAUAUUGCAAAUCACACAGCUUUGGGAAUGGAUUUUCCUAGCUUUCCUAAAGAACAAAGUGAAAGCAAUCUAUCUUCUUUGGAUGUGAUCCAUCUUGAUGAAGAGAGCUCUCCUCAUGAUUCUCUUUCCUAUAACAAACACCUGGAAAGGAUACUGCAAGGAAGGCCAGAAGUCGACCAGAAAGGCAGCUGUCACCCGGCUUAUUACCUGUGGACUGACAAGUACCGGCCUGAAACUGCUGCCCAGGUCUGUGGAAAUAUUGAGCAUGUAAAGUUUCUCAGUGAAUGGCUCAAAGGGUGGGAUGAAAGAGGCCACAAGAGCAAGCAAACUGGAGUUGCUAAUGAGAGCAUCAAUGCCAGCUUCUGUCAAGAUGAAUCUGACACAGAUUGUUCAGAAGAUGCUUCUGAUUAUGAAAAUGUACUUCUAAUUACUGGACCAGUUGGGUGUGGAAAAUCAGCCGCAGUUUUUGCUUGUGCGAGAGAACAUGGGUUCAAUGUAAUUGAGGUAAAUACAUCUGAUAUGAGAAAUGGGGCGUAUGUAAAGCAAAAGUUUGAGGAAGCAACUAAAUCACAUGGCCUUGAAAAGUGGUCACAAGAGGAGGUCACCACUCCACCAAGAAUCGAUUCUUUAGAUCCAGCUUUAGAGACACCUGAUAGGACUGAAUACAAGCAUUCAGUAUCCUGCUCUACAAGAAAAGCAUCUAACGAUGAUGAACAUAUGCUACCUGUAAAAUGCUACUCAAGUUCAAAGCUGAGUGAUGAAGCCCCUAAACAAGUUAUUAACAAGACACUUAUCCUAUUUGAGGAUGUGGAUACUGUCUUUGAUGAGGAUCGUGGAUUUAUUUCGACCAUACUUAAGAUUGCAGAGACUACAAGAUGGCCAAUUAUACUGACCAGCAACAAGAAGGAUCCAGCUUUGCCUCAUCUCUUGGAUCAGCUAGUUUUGGAUUUCAAAUACCCAUCAUCCGGAGAGCUACUUUCACAUGUUGGCAUGAUCUGUAAAUCUGAGGGAGUGGACGUCACUGCUCCUCAAUUGAAGUAUUUUAUCAAUGCUUGUUUAGGGGAUAUUAGGAGGACAACAAUGCUUUUGCAAUUUUGGUAUCAAGGCAAGCAGGAAUACACAGAGAGGUCAAACAAAUGCUUGUCUGUUCCUUUUUCACUUGACUUGGAUGCAGUACAUUCUACCGUGCCAAGAAUGUUGCCUUGGGACUUCCCCUGUAAAUUAUCAGAAACAGUGUGCUUAGAGAUAGAAAAAACAAUCCAUUUAGCUGAAGAAAAGAAAAGGCAGAUGGAAUUAUCAGAGUUUGAAGCCUUGGAGUUACAAAUAAUAGCACCUCUGACCAAGGGAAGAAGUGCAGUUAAAACAAGAAAGAUUAAAAAAUCCAAGUUAAAGCAUGGCCACACUACUGAAUGUAAUGAUAUUUCACCUUGUAAGAAUGAUCUUGAUGAUUUUGAUGAUGCUCCAGAUACCUCUCUUCUGUCUGAUCAACAAAAAGCAAGAAAGAAGCAUGGUGUAGUGUUAUUAUCUGAGUCCGAUGAUGAUCAAGCGGAUGCAUAUAUUGCCAAAGAUGCCAGAUUUACUGUGCCAGAAGGUGAUUUAUUCCCACAACCUCCAGAAGUGCCCCAUAUACAUGGGCAAGGAAUCUCAAAUCAGUUUUGUUUUCCAAGCGAAUCAAGGGAGACUUUUGAAAUAACUAAUUCUUUCCAAAACCAGUUCGAGAGCAACUUGGUUGGGUCCAUUUCACAAAUAUGUGAUACUUUUAUGUCACAAGGCGUGUCGUGUGUGCCUGAGUCAUCCCUCGCAGUUGGAGGUGUUUCUGCAUCUGUUAGCAGCGAUGACCUUUUAUCAAGUAUGGUGUUCAAUGGCUUGUCUACCUUUAAUAAUGAUGGUGUUUGCACUACGCCUAUGACGGCACUAGAAGACAGCAACCAUGCGAGGAAUCUAAUGUCUGGAUCGCAGAAAUGCAUGGAAGAUGUGGUUGGUGAGACAUGUGAAGCUUAUGCAGAAUCAUUUGGCAGGAAUGAACAGGAAAGUUGUUCAACUACGGGGUAUCAACUGAUGGAUGAAUGCAGUCGAGCUGAUAGCAUUUGGCUGCUUUCUGGCAAAAAGACUAGCGACUCUUGCAAGGUUGAACGUGUACAAGAUACUUGGAACAGGCUACGUCGUUGCUGUCCUGUACUUCCCUGUGAGACCAAUCACAAUAGAACUGCUUCUGGAGCUUUGAAGCUUGCUUCCCGUGUGUCUGAUUUAAUAUCGGAAUCAGAUCUUAUGCUCACCCGCUGCUACCCUCUUACCAAUGACAUUUUGGAUCCAUCUUCAUCCCCGAGUGCUGAGCCUGAUGACCUCUCCUGGUACGAUAAGCAGCUUGAGAUGGGAUCUGUCUAUGCGCAGCAUGCUCUUUGCGUUUUCUCAAGGGACUUCCAAGAUAAGGAGGAUGGUUCCAUUGAUUUGUCACAAGAGUUGUUGUUUGCCAGUACAACUGCCACAUCUCUUGGUAAACUUAUUAGUUCAGGAAUCAACAGUGAUGAUGGAUAUGGGAACAUUUCCCACAUGAAAAAUCCAACAAGCUGUAUUUCUAAGGGGAGGGAGCAACUAGUUCAUCUUUGUGACGCACUGCUUCCAGUAGUUCCUUCCAAGCUAUCUCUAUCACUGAGAGGACCCGCUUUUGUUGAUUAUUUAUCUUCGACUUGUCAGAUUUCGCAGUUAGAAAACUUGCGACUUACUGACAGUGAAGUUGCAAACAAGCAAAGAAGGUGUCGUCAGUCAAGACAUUACUUAAGUUCUGCUGCACUUUCGAUGUCACCUGAAGGCAUCGAAUUGUUAGCACAAAGCAGCCGUUUUGGUGAUAGGCGCGAGAAGUUUAUAGACCAGACGAUUGCCUAG
Molecule: ribosomal RNA, 3849 nt
Filed under: Triticum aestivum (bread wheat)
Lineage: Eukaryota; Viridiplantae; Streptophyta; Magnoliopsida; Poales; Poaceae
Description: partial small subunit ribosomal RNA
Source: RNAcentral